RNAcentral lists this ribosomal RNA (581 nucleotides) under Veillonella parvula. RNAcentral describes it as "bacterial SSU rRNA". It matches the Rfam family "Bacterial small subunit ribosomal RNA", at positions 380 to 952 of the family's 1533-position model. Lineage: Bacteria; Bacillati; Bacillota; Negativicutes; Veillonellales; Veillonellaceae. The record is from RNAcentral.
AGUCUGACGGAGCAACGCCGCGUGAGUGAUGACGGCCUUCGGGUUGUAAAGCUCUGUUAAUCGGGACGAAAGGCCUUCUUGCGAACAGUUAGAAGGAUUGACGGUACCGGAAUAGAAAGCCACGGCUAACCACGUGCCAGCAGCCGCGGUAAUACGUAGGUGGCAAGCGUUGUCCGGAAUUAUUGGGCGUAAAGCGCGCGCAGGCGGAUCAGUCAGUCUGUCUUAAAAGUUCGGGGCUUAACCCCGUGAUGGGAUGGAAACUGCUGAUCUAGAGUAUCGGAGAGGAAAGUGGAAUUCCUAGUGUAGCGGUGAAAUGCGUAGAUAUUAGGAAGAACACCAGUGGCGAAGGCGACUUUCUGGACGAAAACUGACGCUGAGGCGCGAAAGCCAGGGGAGCGAACGGGAUUAGAUACCCCGGUAGUCCUGGCCGUAAACGAUGGGUACUAGGUGUAGGAGGUAUCGACCCCUUCUGUGCCGGAGUUAACGCAAUAAGUACCCCGCCUGGGGAGUACGACCGCAAGGUUGAAACUCAAAGGAAUUGACGGGGGCCCGCACAAGCGGUGGAGUAUGUGGUUUAAUUC